Non-coding RNA from Nestor notabilis (Kea), 74 nucleotides. NCBI's taxonomy places the organism in Eukaryota, Metazoa, Chordata, Aves, Psittaciformes, Psittacidae. The record is from Rfam.
UGAUCUUGGAAAUCAAGUAUAGGUAGAGCCUGUGGGUGCAAUUCCAGGCGACCCAUACUUGGUUUCCAGGGUGU